This 318-nucleotide ribosomal RNA is filed under the name uncultured bacterium. Its description in RNAcentral is "bacterial SSU rRNA". It matches the Rfam family "Bacterial small subunit ribosomal RNA", at positions 9 to 355 of the family's 1533-position model. The record is from RNAcentral.
GAGUUUGAUCCUGGCUCAGAAUGAACGCUGGCGGCAUGCCUAACACAUGCAAGUCGAACGAAGGCUUCGGCCUUAGUGGCGCACGGGUGCGUAACGCGUGGGAAUCUGCCCCUUGGUUCGGAAUAAUAGUGAGAAAUUACUGCUAAUACCGGAUGAUGACGAAAGUCCAAAGAUUUAUCGCCGAGGGAUGAGCCCGCGUAGGAUUAGCUAGUUGGUGUGGUAAAGGCGCACCAAGGCGACGAUCCUUAGCUGGUCUGAGAGGAUGAUCAGCCACACUGGGACUGAGACACGGCCCAGACUCCUACGGGGCGCAGCAGA